Molecule: ribosomal RNA, 161 nt
Filed under: uncultured bacterium
Lineage: Bacteria
Description: partial 16S ribosomal RNA
Rfam family: Bacterial small subunit ribosomal RNA
Source: RNAcentral
UGAGGAAUAUUGGUCAAUGGGCGGAAGCCUGAACCAGCCAAGUCGCGUGAGGGAAUAAGGCCCUACGGUCGGUAAACCUCUUUUGUCCGGGGAGGCAAGGGCGGGGACGGUGUCCCGGCCCGGAGAGUACCCGGAGAAAAAGCAUCGGCUAACUCCGUGCC